UUUUAUUUCUAGAAAACAACUUCGUAAUUAUUUUUUGCACUUCUGAUUUUUUCAAGAGAAUUAGUUUUGCUUUAGAAUCUCUCAAAUUCUAAAUUAUUAAAGGAUUAGUGAUAACAAGAUAAGAUCCUUCAUUUUUUACGAAGAUAAAUAAGUGAUCAAAUAUUAAAGGGGUUUAAGGAGCAGAAUUUCUGAUUUUUUAUUCUUUUACCUAUGAGCUUUAGUUUGCCUAUGUUACUACAAGAACAAUAAAAUAUCUGACACUUUCAAUAUGGUUAGUUUGUCUAAAGUAUAUAUACACACAGAGGCGGUAAAGAAUAAUAAGUACAAUUAAAGGAUAGGGAAAGGAGAACUGGACUCUCGCUAUGGGCCUGCAAAUGUUCAAGCCCAACAUAAUGUACACGAAUAGUGGCCUCGAUAGGAACGUGAUGACGUAUAUCUGAAAGUGGACUUGAGCUCCAAAUGGGCUCAGCAGGCCCAAAUUGAAUUCAUGCACACAAAAAAAAUAAAAUAACUAAUGUAUAUCAAUUGCAAAAGCUAAGUAAGAUAAAGAGUAUAACAAAUGGUAAUAAAGAGCAAAAGAAUGUCGUGAGGCAGAUUUUAUAUAUUCUAAUCUUAUGAGGAUUAAUAAGAGUUAGUGACUAAAAGCUUGGUGUAAAUCCUCUCUUAUUGAUAUAAUCUCCCUUUUGAGCUCCUUGUACUUCAGAGUUCAUGAGGGUCUCACGGACCCCGAACAGUGCUUUUGUCAAGGAGAGAGAGAAUAACCACAAUGAAUUUUUACAUCUAAUUACCCUUAACCACAUUAUAUUAAUCUUCUUCAGAGGUUUAAACAUAAACAAAAGAAUCAACAGAGUAACUUUAUACUGCUAAGAUACAAAAAGUAGUUACAAGAGUCAUGGUAAACCCUUUAAAGGUUCAAAUACAUAAGAAACUCAACAACUAUGAACAAAUGGGAUGUUGUAAUUCAUUUCAAAGCACAAAAGUAGCCAAGGGCACGAUAUUGACUUAAGAGGAAUCAUAUCAGAGUCAUGAGAUCACUUUGAAGACAUAGUCAAGCAAGAAAACAAAGUGCAGGCAAGAGACAUGUUUCACUUCUCAUAGAGUUUAGACGCAUAAGUGUUACAGUAAAGUAUCACACAGAGAUGAGCAUAAGAGUAUGUUAUAUUGGCUUCACUAUAGGUUUAAUCUUCCAUAACUCUUCUAAGUGAGUUCAGAUCAUAGGGAUUGUUCACAGGUGUUUCUAAAGUCUCAGCAUAGUUAACAUCAAGCCUAUACCUUAUCAUUUUGACACCUAAGCUGAUUAUUCUAAUCAGAAUUCCUAAGGGGCAUGCCAAUUAGUCAGGGAAACAAAGUCAUUAAAUAGGAAAGAAUUGAUCUUACUCUUACUCAAUACUGACAGACUGAUUAUACAACACAUAUAUCAUCAAAAUUUCUAACUAUCAGACUUAAACAAAUUCAGGGUGAGUCCCUACGGGAGAUGGCACUAUCAGAUAUAAGGAAAUAGGUAAUAACAUCCAUUUUAAGGCAAACAUGUCAUAAUGAACUGACACUUGAAUAUAUAGGCAACUAGUAUGGUAUGUAAAUCAAACUCAAUACAUGAUUUUAAUUUAAGCUAAUAUGACAAACAUAUAGGAAUCAGGAUAGCAGAAAGUCACAACUAAGUCUAACAAUUAAAGUCAUGAGAGCAUAUCAUCACUAGCAAUGGGAAUAGAUCCCUUAGUGGGAAAUAUUCACAUACUCAAACCAAGUAAAGCACCAUAGCAACCAAGGCAAGUAAAGGUUAGCACAUAGGUGCAAAUAUAUAGUCUCUCAAACUGAAGUCAAAAAAUAGUUUAUUAGCAUAGCAAGGAUUAAUAUGAGAGAGGUAAGCUCAUGUGUAAAGGUCAUUAAUGUAAUGGCAAGAGUCUCACAAAAGCUCAAACAGUCAUGAGAGGGUGAGUAUUAAUCUCAUACUAAGGAUCAAUAGAGAACAAUCUUCCUAACACACUUAGCAAGGUUCAGCACGUACUUUCUUGACUUCUCACACCAUCACAAAGAACGCACAAGAAUCAUUCUGUUACUACUACAUAUGCAGUAUACUAAUUAGAGUCAAACAAAUUAAUAUGAAGUUGGGAACUAAACCAAAUAGCAGAACAUUACAUGUAUCGGGAUGGCAUAAUGAAACAAGUAAUGACAGCAUACAGAUGAUUCUUUGAAACUUGAUUUUAUCCCAACCUCUUCUGCAGGGCAGAAAACCAAGUAGUAGAUGUUCAACAGUGAUUUAGGAAUCCAAACUCAUGACCAGUAUAACAGUUGAACUCAAACCGGAGAAGAGAAAGAAAAUAGAAAAAUCAGAGAGUACUUACUGAGAAAUUCUUAAACUUCAACUCUUUUCUUUCUUUCUUUUGUGUUUCGGAUAGUAUUCAAUUUGUCUUAGGUGAAUACAUUGAAUUCCCUUUUUUAUAGUGGCAUACGAGACUUAGUGUCCCGCUCAGAUUCAAAAUAGUGACUGGAAAGUGCCUAUAUCCAGAUGAUGAUAGUAAUAGAGGUGAAAUCAGUAAAGAACAGAGGGAAAAAUAUCUUAGAAAUUACUUGGGCACGAGGGGAUGACCGUUAAAGCUUUUGGACUGGUGGUCAAACCGUAAUAUCAGAGGUCACUACGUUUGACCUAUGGAUAAAUAAUAACAUUGAUUAAACAAGAGACAAGCAGCCAUGCAUGCUCUGGAUUUGAAAGAACAUGGGAGGUUUGAUGGGUUUUCAAGUUUCACGAUUUAGGUCCAGGUUUUAAUUUGGGGAUUUUGAAUUUCGGUGAUGAUAAUGGAAAUAUUCCACCUGGAUUCGCGGCAUAGGGGACAGACUGGGUGAUUUGAAGUUGAUUCUUGUCACCUUGCACAAAUUUGUGCAAGGUCUUUGAGGAUUGAUGGGCUGAUGGAUGAGGGAAAGGAGAGAGGAAAGGGAAAUGGAGGCGGUUAGGUGGUGAGAGAAUGAUAGGGUUUAGGGGUGUUUGGUAGGUUUAAUAAAAUUUUUAUUAUGGGAAAAAAUAUACUUCCGUUGGAUCUCUGUAAUCCAAAGGUGGAGAUGAGGUCUGGCAUAUAUUUUAAAAUAAAGGAAUAAAUGGGGAUUAAUGUGGACCCUUGAUGAUCUGGGCCAGAAGUCCAGAUUCUUGUGUUUGUUUUGUGAGUGUGGGAAAUAGGCGACGUGGCACGAUGCUAUUGGCUCAGAGACUCAGAGGAAGUGGCACAGAUUGCCAACAUGGAAUAGAAACAGUGAGUCUGGACUGGGUCAGGGUGUUUGGGCUCGUGUAUUUGGGCCAAAAUAUCUUAAAUAAAGUUUAACAAUUGGCCACAUUGAGUUUAAUUGAUUAAUUACAAUUGUAGCCUUUUGAGCAUUUAACCCCUUUUUAAAAUCAACUUAAUUAUGCUUAAUUUAUCAUAAUUAAAUGCAAUAAAAUAUAAUAAUCAAAUAUAUUACUAAUUGCUAUAAUUAAUUAGUUAUUGUUAUAAUAUUUUAUUAAUUGAAUUAUGAAACUACUUUGGUUAAUUAAAGUAAAUAAGGAAAUAUAAUUAUAAAUUUAAGACUAAUUCAUUAAAUUAAUUAUAAAACUUGUUUAUUAAAAUAUAAUGGUUAUUUUAAUAGUUCAAAACAGUAAGAGUAGUAUAAUUUAUAAAUAUUUAAUAUCAAAUUACUUUUAAUUCAAUAAUAUUAAUUAUUAUUAUCUAUUGUAUUUUAGAAAAAUAGGUAUUAUUGAUUAGAAAAUAUUUAACCAUAUUUAUUGCCAAUUAAUAAUCAUAAAUAAUUUAGAGACUAGACUCUACGUAGGUUCUCUACGUAUCCCAUCGUGGGAAGGUAGGUCAGGUGUAGUUCUGUUACAACAAAACCCUAACUCUAUUGUCUUCAAAUGUGUUAUCUCUUGAUUGCGUCUGAAUUGAUUGGCUUCGUGCUGAAUUUGCCGUCCAUUUCUACUAGGAUUUGUGCACCUCCCAUUUCUUAAUCGAUGGCCUUCGUGCUGACUUUGCCUCCACUUAAUGGGGGAAAUAUCUUCUUCAAAACCAACUGACCCGAUGUGAAUUGCCGAGGUUUCAAUUUUCUGUUGAACGCGUUGGCCAUCCUAUUUUGAUACAGAUGACCAUGAUAAAUCCUUCCAUUCUCUUUUCAUCAAUGAGCAUAAGUUGUUCUUGCCUGAAACAUAUCCAUUCUGCAUCAUCUAGCUUGGCUUCCUGGAUAACUCUCAAAUAUGGUAUCUCGACCUCUCCAGAUAUCACAACUUCUAUGCCAUUUACCAACAAGUAUGGUUUUUCCCCAGUAGAUGUUCUUAUGGUAGUGUGGUAACCCGGUAAGGCAAAGGAUAGCUUUUCGUACCAUUGCAUGUGAUUGUCCACUUAUCUUUUUAAAGAUUCUAUAGAUGUUUUUGGUGGUUGCUUAAACUGCUUCAUUCAUUUGUGGCCUAUAGGCUAUGGAGUUGCGGUGGACAAUUAUGAACUUCUAGAAAAUCUCCCUCAUGAGAUUGCUAUUGAGAUUGGCUGCACUGUGAAUUAUGAUUGACUCUGGAAUCCCCAAUAGACAGACUGUGUUUUUACGGUCGAAAUCUGACACCACCUUCUUCGUGAUAGCCUUGUAUGUAGAAACUUUGACCCAUUUUGUGAAGUAGUCGAUGGCUACCAAGAUUAAAUGAUGCACGUUCGAUGCAACAGGUUCUAUAGGUCCAAUCAAAUCUAUGCCCCAAGUGGCAAAUGGUCAAGGAGAGCCUAUUCCAUUUAACUCAUUCGGUAGAACUCGGAUGAAAUCCCCGGGAAUCUGACACUGUGAUACAUAUGCACGUAGCGGAUGCUAUCACUUUCCAUGGUCAUCCAAAAGAAUUCGGCUCUCAAAAUCUUCUUAGCUAAGGUGAAACCAUUCAUGUGAGACCCGAACAUUCCUGUAUGUAUUUUCUCCAAUAAUCUUGUUGCUUCAGCAUCAUCCACACCCCUUAACAGACCCAAAUUCGGGGUCCUCCUAUACAGAACUUCCAUGUUAAGGAAAAAGUGAUUUGCUGGUCUUCUUAAGGCUCAUUUAUGACCAUUAGUGUUAUUUUCUUGGUACUUUCUUGUUUCAAAAAACCUUUGAUGUCUUGGUACCAAGGCCUACUAUCUGGAUCUUCAUCUACCUGGAAAUAGUAUGCAUUCUAAUCUCGAGCCUCUAUCUCGAUAGGGUUGAUGUAAUUCUUGUAUGGGUGCAGGAUCAUGGAUGACAAAGUUGCGAGAGCAUCGACGAACUCAUUAUAGAUUCUAGGCACAUGUUUGAACUUGAUCUUGGUGAAAUUCUUACACAACUCCUUCAUGCAAUACAAGUAUGGAAGGAUCUUGACAUUCUUGGUGGUCCACUCACCCUGAACUUGAUGUAUCAACAAAUCAGAAUCUCCUAUCACCAAAAGCUCUUUAAUGUUCACGUCGACUGCAAUCCUAAUCCUUAGGAUUCAUGCCUAAUAUCCUGCCAUAUUACUUGUUCAAUGUAACCUUAUCUUAGCUGAAGCAGGAUAAUGUUGUCCCGACUUCGAAAUUAGGACUGCCCCAAUUCCCACUCCCUUGAAAUUUGCUGCCCCAUUGAAAAGCAUUCUCCACCCUGGAUAUGAAUCUGAAAUAUCCUCCCUAGUGAACAACACUUCUUCAUCUGGGAAGUAAGUGCUAAGUGGCUUAUAAUCCUUGUCCACCAGGUUUUCUGCAAGAUGAUCAACGAACGCUCGUCCUUUGAUAGCUUUCUGCAUCACAUACACAAUAUCGAAUUCACUGAAAAGAAUCUGCCAUUUGGCCAAUUUUCCCAUAGGCAUCGGCUUCUUGAAGAUGUACUUGAGCGGGUCGAUUCAGGAGAUUAAAUAUAUGCUAUAUGCCAAUAGGUAAUGUCUUAACUUCUGAAUGAUCUAGGUCAAAGCGCAACAGGUCCGCUCUAACAAUGUGUAUCUGGCUUCAUAUCGUGUGAACUUCUUGUUUAAGUAAUAGAUAGCUUGCUCCUUCUUUCUAGUCUUAUGAUGUUGUCCCAACAUGCAUCCAAAUGCAUUAUUCAAGACUAACAUGUAUAGCAGCAGAGACUUCCCAGGUUCAGGAGGAAUUAACACAAACGGACUCGACAAAUACUCUUUGAUUCUAUUGAAAGCUUUUUGACAUUCCUCUUUCCACUUUGUAGAGGCAUCUUUAUUUAACAACUUAAAAAUCGGCUCACAGAUUACUAUUGACUAGGCUAUGAACCUGCUGAUGUAGUUCAAUGUUCUAAGGAAUCUCAUCACACCCUUCUUACUUUUGGGUAGAGACAAGUCUUGAAUUGCCUUGAUCUAUGAGGGGUCUAGUUCUAUCCCUUUUCUGCUGACGAUGAAGCCUAACAGUUUUCCUAUGGGGACUCCAACACAUAUUUUGCAGAAUUCAACUUCAAACUGUACCUUUACAAUCAGUCAAAGAACUUCCUUAAGUCGUUCAAAUGAUAUGCACUCUUUCAUGACUUGAUGAUGAUGCCAUCCACAUAUACCUCGAUCUAUUUGUGGAAGAUGUCGUGAAAGAGGUUUGCCAUGGCCCUCAUGUAGGUAGCACCGGCAUUCUUGAGAUCGAACAACAUGACCCUAUAGCAAUAUACUCCCCAUGGUAUGGUGAAUGCUUUCUUUUCUGCAUCUUCUUUGUGCAUCUAAAUCUGGUGGUAUCCAGGAAACAAUUCACGAACGAUUGUAACUUAUGUUUCGCGCACUUUUCGCUAAGGAUAUGGAUAUUCUAAAGAGGAAAGUCAUCCUUGGGACUGGCUUUGUUGAGAUAUUGGUAGUCCACGCAUAUCCUAAUCUUUCCUUCUUUCUUCGAUACCGGUACGACGUUUUCCAACCAUGUAGGGUAAUUGGUGACCCUCACCACAUUUGCUUUUAUCUUGUUAGUGACUUCUUCUUUGAUUUUUAGAUUCAAAUCUGGUUUGAAUUUUUUGGGUUUCUGUUUGGUUGUUGGCCCAGCGGGAUCAGUGGGCAACCAGUGCGAGAUGAUGUCAGUACUUAAAUUGGGCAUGUCGUCAUAUGACCAAGCGAAUACAUUGAUGUAUUGUCCGUAGAGCUCUUCCAAGUCUUCCUUCUGUUCUGCUUUCAAGUGGAUGCUGAUUCGAGUCUCUUUCACAUCUUCUUCACUUCGAAAGUCAAUCACUUAUGUUUCUUCAUGAUUGGGCUUUUUCUGGCUUUCUAGCUGCUCAGUCUCUUGCAGGUGGUUCUUAGGCAUCAUACUGUCAUCGUACUCUUCAUAGUCCAAAUCAUUUUGCUCACCGGUUUCGUUAGAUGUCAAAAUCGUGGAAUGCGAGUUUUUAUUGAUUUGAUUACUAAAAAGAUAAAUUGAGUAUAGAUAAAGAUAAAGAUGAAUUUGCGAUGAUUUCAUGAAAGUAAUUUUUUAUUUAACCAAAAAGAACGUCUCAGUAUAUAAAGAGGCAAUUUAACAAAAAGGUACAAGCAUGGUUCAGGACUCAAUUGACCAUGCGCUUUUUCAAAAUUACUACAAUUCCAUACUACCAAGACUCCCGCCGAACCAGAGACAGGUGGUCCAGUUUUUCAAUGUCUCUCUAGGUUUGGCAUUUUGAAUAGUCGGUGUCUUGAUAUCAUCUUCGUCGCAACAUUCCUCGAUCAUGGCUACAAAAAAUCUUCCCAUGCAAUCAUUGAUAUAAUCAUCUGGUGGUGAGCUCUGACCGGGUCCUGGAAUAUGCUCUGGUACCAAAACCUUCUUCCUAGGGUUAUCGUUGUAUGUUCUUCCAGUUAUAGGCUGAUACCUCAAGCCGGUGGUACUUUUCUGCCCAUUCGAUUCAAUUGGCUCUGCUAUCCCAUCUGAUCGGUCUCCUAGCCCAUUCCCUGGUCGGUAUCCAUAUUUCAUCAUUUCCUACAUUGCCAUCUUUAACCUAUAGUGUUACUGCAUGCUGUGAUUCUACUCAUUCUUCUACAUUUAUGUUGCUUGCAUGAUCUUGAUUGCAUGGAUGGCGACCCCAUCUAAUCCUUCUAUGAAAGGAACUGCAUUCUCCAAGUAAGCUGACCGGCUUCACUCCCCAUGUAUCCCAAUCUCCUGGAAAUCCCACUCAAAUUUCAUACACUUAUGGAGAAUGGAUGGAACUGCCCCUGCCAUGUGUAUCCAGGGCCUUCCUAAUAGUAGAUUGUAUGAAGACAAAAUGUCCAUCACUUGAAACAAUAUUGGAAACUCAACUAGGCAAAUUUUCAAGGCUAAGUAGAUAUCUCUGAUGACAUCCUUCUGUGACCUAUCGAAAGCCCUUACUGUUACAUGGCUCUCUUUCACUUCCCUCAAAUGAAUGCCCAAUUCUCACAGAGUAGAGAACCAGAAAAUAUUUACUCCGGAUCCUCUGUCGAUAAAGCACACAUGAUACAACUUUGUCCCCACAUUUGACUGUGAUGUGCAGAGCCUUGUUUUGGUCCAUAACCUCCAUAGGAAGUUCAUCUCAUCGAAAGGAAAUCUUGUUUUCUUUGACCAUCUUCCCAAUGGUUGCUACUAGUGCCUCGCUAGUGGUACUGCCCGGCAUACUUUCCCCACUUAGCACUUUUACUAAAGCAUCCUUGUUACUGUCGGAGCUCAUCAACAAAUCCAUAAUUGAUAUGCGGGCAGGGGUCUUUCUCAACUGUUCUUCUAUGAAAUUUUCUUUAAUCGGCAUCCUCAUUCAAAACUCUACUGCCUCCACGUUUGUUGUGUUUCUCCUCUGAUUUUGCUCUCUACUCAUGUUCCCUCAAUUCACCUCUUCUGGAGCGUAACACCUUCCUGACCUAGUCAUUAUGUGAGCAGUUGCGCUGAAUGUUAUUUUUCCUUUCCCUUUGACUGAUGAGUCCAUGAAACUGCCUUAUAUACUCGACUCCCUUCAUAUCUAACAGUGGUGGUGGAUCGUUGUUGAUUUGUCUGAACUAUCAUAGGAGGUUUCAACUUCAUAGUAAUCAAUGGAGUUACCCAAGGGAGUGUUCUUGCAGCUUCAUCAUUCCCAAUAGUGACAAUGCUCCCUUUUAAGUAAUAGUCCCCGUCUAAUACAAUUAUGUUGGCUCCUUAGUUUCUGUGGUUUGGUUGUGGGUUACUAUUUACACACUGGAUAGCUCCACUUUUAAUCAAUAGUUUGAUCUUAUUCUUCAAUCUAUAACAAUCCUUUGUGUCAUGCCUAGGAACACCUUAAUGAUAGGCGCAAUGCUUGCUUCCAUCAAAAUAUUUGUAGGGUUGGUCGAGGAUUCUUCCUUCCACAUGGUAUAUCAUUUUGUCUCUUCUUAAUCGUUCGAACUAUUGGGCUAAAGGCUCAGAAAUUAGGGUGAAGUUUCUUGGAUUCCUUUCUUCAAUGUUUGGACGUGACCUGGGUACAUAGGCAUGUCUGCUUUUAUGGGUGGUGGUUCGAACUAUAUGGUCGUGGUGGGUUUGGAUGUAUAUUGGCUCGGGGUGGGUUAUAAUGGGGUUGACCAUUGUAGAAUAGUUGGGUAUUAUAUACUGGGGUAUAAGGGAGGAUGGGUAUUUGUGGGGUAGGAGUUGGUUCGACAAGGAGGACUUGACUGAUAGUAGGGGGAAAUCGCCGUUACUUCCUCUUUCCUCUUCUUCCCACUUCCGAUUGAAUUGGAUUGUAUAGCCUUGCUAGUAGCUUGUAGCACGAUCAUUGACUCUAUCUUUCUUGACUUGAUACAUUCAUCCAAGAAAACUCCCAUUUUAACCAGGUCGAGAAAUUUCUUACUCAUCAUACCCAUCAUCUUUUUGAAAUAAAUUCCCUUUUGCGCACGGAUAAAGUAAUUAGUUUUCUCAUUAUCAUCCAACGGUGGUUGAGUCCUAGAAGCUUUUGAUCUCUAACGGCGAGCAUAUUCUUGAAAUGGUUCAAAGAGCCUCUUCCACAUAUUCACCAAAGUGAAUCCGUUCGGAGUGACCUCAGUGUUGAAUCUGAAGCGAUUCAUAAAAUUUUCAGCCAUGUCCUACCACUCCCUCAAAUUCCUAGUGUCUUGUCUGGUAUACCAAACAAGCGCUUCUCUAGUCAGACUCCUUAUAAAUAGUUUCAUUCUUAGCUUUUUAUUUCUCCCUAAUCCGACCAACUUGUCACGGUAUGCCCUUAAAAGAGCGUGUGGGUCGCCUGUUCCGUAAACAAUGUCGAACUUUGGAGGUUUGUACCCUGCAGGCAUAUCAACAUCGGGAUGUAUGCAAUUCUUCAUAAUCCAAGCUCUCUCUCCCUCGAGCAACUUGGAGAUUCUUCAUCUGUUUCCUCAAUACUCGUAGUUUUUCUGAUACUGACUCCUCUUCCUUGUAUUUUGCUUCUUUCUCUAUCUCAGCAUAUUGGUGUAUCUCAUAAGGCACUCUGACCGUGAUGGGCGCAGUAAAGGUAGGCUCAUGACCGGCAUAUACAGGUGGAAUGUACCGCUCAUGUGUGGCGUUGUGUGCCGCAGGUAUAUACUGUGUGUGAUUGUUGGUAAAAGUGACGUUGUCACGAGGAGGGGUGUGAACCAAAUUGGUGGUAGCUGGUGGAUUUUAUGGUUCUUGGACAUAGUUUGGAGCAUAGGGUGUGUGUAUAGGAGGGUUUGGUAAAUUUGCAGGGGUUACUGGUGGUAUAACUUGAGUUGUGGGAUUUGCGGUGAUAGUAGUUAGGGUAUUGGUUGUUUGUCAGAUAGAUGAAGGGAAAUGGUCAGGGAUUGAAUCUAGGGAAGGGAAGCAGGGUGGUUGCAGAAGCAUUUUCACGACCAAAUGUGCUAGCUCCCAGAUUUGUUUUUCCAGUAUCAUAGGAAUGAGGGUGAGUUGCAGAUUUCCCAGGAAGGUUGCCAAAACUAGGGACAGCAGGUUGAUAUUGAUUCGUCCCUUUCUUUGUGAGAAAACCAACACUCCCAACAAUGCUAGAGAAACGUUUAAGGGGUGGAGGCUCUCCCAUGCUUCUUGAUCACACUGGAAUUAUUCAAGAUGACACUCAUAGCUCUCCCGAUGUUCUAUUUUGUCAAAUAGCUGGCCUAGCUCAUCCAUCCAUCUUUGACGUUUCUCAAGUAUUUGUUUCUUGUCCGACCCAAUACAUGGAGUAACCUAUGGUCUGGCAUGCCGACUAGUUGUAUUGGUUUCCUUCCGACGAAUGGUAACUCCAUGAAGUUGUUAACCCCCUCCAGUGUAGGCAUCAACACACAAUCAACAAAUUUGAAGACUUGUUUGGAUGGGUCCAAAAUCACUAUUAGCAGCCUAGUGAGGACUUUUUCGGUUCAAGUGUUCAUCAAGGCAAUUAGUGCUUCCAGGUCUGUUUUGUUCUCACUCACGUGCUCCCGUCGAAUUUUCCUCCACCACUACUUCAACAUGUGAGGUCAACCAACGACCAUGUUAACCUCGGGGACGUUGCAGCUGAUUUCCAUGUAAAGAGGUAAAAGGUUUGGUACAUGUUGACUCAGAUAUUUAAUGUAUUAUCUGGAUUGGUUCGUCGUUCCACAGAGAGUAGGUCGUUGGGUGCAUAAGCCGUUGACAUUAAGGUGGCAUUCCUAAUUGUGAGUCAAUACCAAGGACUGACCCACCUAAUGUUUAUGCAACAUGACCUAUGUUUGCUAAGAGUAGAGUAUUUCCUAAUUUUGGAGUUGGACUAAAUAACUACAAGAUGUUAUGUCAGUUGGCCUGACAAAGUCGUUCUCUAAAACUGGAGAGUUUUGAAAUAAGGUUUGGAGGGGUGUAAAAGACAAUCCUCGCAUGCCAUUUGUCUGUGAUUGUGUACAUCCAAGACUCGAUAGGAAAGAUGUGAUGAUAGUGUAUAAAGUAGUAACAGAUAAUUGUGGUAAAGUAGUAAUAUAUGCAAACAAGUAAGGAUGUAUAAGCAUGUUGAAAGUGUAAGAAAGUAGAAUGAAGCGAAUAAACAUGUAUUUGAAGGUUAAGCAUAAUUAAACCAGAAUAUAACAAAACAUCCUCAAAGUUCAAGUCUAACCUAAGUCUGCUAAGGUCAGAACCUAAGUAUAAAAAUUCCCAGCAGAGUUGUCAUGUUAUAGAACCUUAUUUUGACCUAGUCAAAUUAAAAUUCAACUAAUGGUCCAUCUGAAGUUGAUUAAAGAAAAGUCGCCACCUAAUAUUUUAAGGUAUAGUAGGGUACCUAUGGGUUUGUUAAAUUAUUAUCUUAAUGGUCUACUAACCGGUGAUAUUUGUAUUAGGGUUCUAGUUAUUCUAAGGGCAAGGAAUUAGUCACCCCUCAAAAUCUACCUGAGGUAGCUCCUUAAGCUUAGACUAAGUUCGAGGAAAAAUGCCUAUAUUCUGCUUAGUCCUGUUUUUAAAGCCUAUAAAAAUGUUCUAAGCUUUAGCUAAAAGUCGGCUACUUGAGAAAAGGUGGUGUAUGUGCUUUGAAAAGAAACUAUAUAUUUUUGCGAUAAUCUUGAAAAGAAAUCGCCCUUUAAUAUAUGUACACUUAUUAAGUUGAAAACUAUAUACACUUUAUUUUCUGAAUAAUCUUGUAAGAACUCUUUUGAUUAAAAGAAGUGGUAUGUUUUAGGGAAAAUGUCACUUAGUAAAUAAAGGACUACUUGAAAUUACGCCUUAAAUUGGAAUGGGUAAACCUUUAUUUGGAAAUCAAGUUUAACCGGAACCACAUACUUUGAAAUUCGUUGACGUCCAUCAGUUCAUAAGCAUUCAUUGUGUUUGAUUUUAGUUCUUGAAAAUGGCUUCGUAAUUAUUUUUUGUAAUUCUGAUUUUUUUCAAGAGAAUUCGUUUUGCUUUUUAAUCUGUCAAAGUCCAACCUUACUGGAAACGGUUAGUGAUAACAAGAUAAGAUCUUUCAUUUGUUAAUAAUAUAAAUAAGUGAGAAAAAAUUAUAGGUGUUUAAAUAGCAGAAUUUCUGAAUUUUUAUUCUUUUACCUAUGAGCUUUGGUUUGCCUAUGUUCCUACAAGAAUAAUAAAAUAUCCAACACAUUCAACAUGGUUAGUUUCUCUAAAGUAUAUAUAUACAUAGAGGCGGUAAAAAAUAACAAGUGAAAUUAAAGGAAGGGGAAUGGAGAACUGGACUCUCGCUAUGGGCUAGCAAAUGUUCAAGCCCAACAUAAUGUGCAUGAACAACAGACUCGACAGGAAUGCGAUGACCCGAAUCUGAAAGUGGACUUGAGCUCCAAAUGGGCUCGGCAGGCCCAAAUUGAAUUCAUGCAUACAAAGAAAAGAAAAUUAUAACGUAUAUCAAUUUCAAAAGCUAAGCAAGACAAUGAUUAUACGAAAUGGUAAUAGAGAACUAAAAAAUGUAGUGAGGCAGAUUUUAUUUAUGCCAAUUCUAUGAAGACUCAUAAGAGUUAGUGACUAAAAGCUUGGUGUAAAUCCUCAUUUAUGGAUAUAAUCCCUCAUUUGAGCCCUUGGCAUUUCAUAGUUCACGAGAGUCUCACGGACCCCAAGCAGUACUUGUGUCAAGGAGAGAGAUCAUAACCCAAAUGAGCUUUCACAUCCAAAUACCCAUAACCACCCACUAUUAAUCUUCCUCAGAGGUUGAAAUACAAACUAAAGAAUCAACAGAGUAACUUUAUACUGCUAAUAUAUAAACAGAAGGUACAAGAGUCAUGGUAAACCCUUUAAAGGUUCAAACACACAAAAAACUCAACAGCUUCGAACAAAUGGGAUGUUGUAAUUCAUUAUCAAAGCACAAAAACAGCCAAGGGCACAAUAUUGACUUAAGAGGGAUCAUAUCAGAGUCAUGAGAUCACAUUGAAGACACAGUCAAGCAAGAAAACAAAGUGCAGGCAAGAGACAUGUUUCAUUUCUCAUAGAUUCUAGACUCAUAUGUGUUACAGUCAAGUAUCCCACAGAGAUGAGCAUAAGGGUAUGUUCUAUUGGCUUCACUGUAGGUUUAAUCUUUCAUAAAUCUUCUAAGUGUGUUCAGAUCAAAGGUAUUGUUCACAGGUGUUUCUAAAGUCUUAGUAUAGUUAACAACAAGCCUAUACCUUAUCAUUUUGACACCUAAACUGAUUAUUCUAAUAAUAAUUCCUAAAGGAGGCAUGCCAAUUUGUCAUGACCCAAAAUCCACUAUAGGUCGUGAUGGCGUCUAACGUCGCCGUCAAGCAAGACAACAGUGAUUUAUCAAUUUAAUUACUCAUUUUUAUUACUUUCGAAAUCAUAGAUUUUAGUAAGGAAGGAGAUUUACACUUCUAAAUUCACGGAAACGUGCAACAUUUGUAGUUUAUAAAAAAUAUUAAAGGUGAUAAUAAUAUACGAAACCUUAUGCAUAAACCAGUAUAACCCCAAAAUUCGGUGUCACAAGUGCAUGUGCAUUUUUCAAAGAGUACAAUAAUAAUACAACAUCUGUCCAGAAUAUAAAUAAGACAGGAUAAAAUAAAUAGUACGAUGGAUACUCGGUGGACUACGAUGCGUAGCCUGGAAUGCAGCUCACAUAAAGUCUCCUCAAUAGGUGUGCCUACGCGCCAGGAUGAUCACCAAACGAACCUGUCAGAUCCCGCACAUUUAGUGUAGAAGUGCAGCAUUAGUACGUAAAUUAACGCGUACCCAAUAAGUAUCUAGCCUAACCCCAGAGAAAUAGUGACAAGGGGUCGACAUCGACACUUACUAGAGGUCCAAUAAAGCAAUAUAAUAAAUCAUAAGCAGAUAUGAAGCACACAACAAUAUUGGGGUAAAUCUGUAAGUUACAUAAUCUUCCAAAUAUUUCUUUUAAAGUAUGAAUUUCUCAAUCUUGUAUUCUACCUUAGCAGCUCAGAAAAUGUCAAGUGCCAAUAUCAAAUGAAUAAGGAAUACCAUAUAAAAUGUCGAGCAUCAGUGGACAGAUAAUCUCGCGAAUGUUCGGACUACCAGCGAUAUAAUGCAUGAUUAUGCCGAUGUCGUUCGGCCCGAUCCAAAAUAAUGUGUACACUACCGAGGGUCGAGUGGAAUGAACCAUAUAUGCAUCUAUUAUACUGUCGAGGCGUUCGGCCCGCUCCACAAGAAAGGAAUGAAAUUAUCGAAGUACGAGGCACAUGCUUACAAUAUAGUACAUGGACACAAUAAGAAAUAUACCCCUUUAGAUUCAUCAAAUAUCUUGGAAACAACUCAAGGUGAUAAAACUCAGCCUAAUAUAUUUAUGUGUUUCUAAAUCCAUUCGAGUUAAAAUUUUAAUUAAUUAAACUAGCAAAAUGAGUCCAAGCUAUUUAAAUAUUAUAUGAUAACGUCCUAAUCCUACCCGGACAUAAUUAUGCUUUAGCUACGUACAGACACUGAUCACCUCGUGCGUACGUAGCACCCACAACUAGUUGCACAUAAUAAUAAAUAUCACCUAGGGGUAGUUUCCCCCUUCACAAGGUUAAACAGGAGACUUACCUCACUCCGAAGUUCUAUAACCGGCUCUCGCGCCUCUCUAAUACCUCAAACCAAAGCCAUCGAUCCGAAACUAGUCAAACAUUAUGUAAAUCAAUCAAAAUAUACCCCAAUGCUUACAAUGUAACAUUUUAUAAAAAUUCCCAACUCCGCUCGAAAAGUCAAUAAAGUCACUCCCACGUGCCCGAAUUCCAAAUAUUUUUAAAGAUAAACUUUACCCAUAACACCAUGAACUCAAAUAUAUAAUUUGUUCCAAAUUUCAUGUCCAAUUUUGUGGUCAAAAUCCAAAAAUACAAAUUUUUACGUUUUCUAUGUAGGAAUAUAAACCAUGUAUUUAACUCACAAUAUGUAGGAAUUACUUACCUCGACAUAGGUGAUGAAAAUCUCCCCUCCAAGAGCUCCAAAAAUCGCCCAACCAAAUGUAAAUGUGAGAGAAAUGGGCUAAGUCUUGGAUUAAAAAUACCCCACUAUCCAGCGACCAUCGCACAUGCGGUCAAGUAGCCGCUUCUGUGGCUCUGCACCUACGGAAAGUCCAUCGAAGGUGCGGCUGCAGCUCAACCCAGCAUCCCUCGCUUCUGCGCCCCAUGUAGCACAUCUGCGCUUCUGCUUUUGGGGGCCUCAAGCGCUUCUACGCUCGCGCACAUGCCCGAUCAUGUCCGCUUCUGCAGCUCAGGCCUUCUUGGCCAACCUCCGCUUCAUCGACAUCUUCUCUGCAUCUGCGGUUCGCAUGUGUGGAAAUUUCCUCACACCUGUGCUCCCAGACAUCUUCCACAAAAAUAGCACCAGCGAUGGAUACUUCGUACCUACGGGAUCGCACCUGCGGCCAGUCCUUGCGCAGGUGCGAUAGCACCACACUUCAGCAGCAUCAGCAAGUCCUCAACUCCAAAUUUCUGUCCGUUUUCAAUCCAUUUCCAUCCCGAGGCCCCCGGGACCCAUCCAAACGUAUCAAUACAACCCAAUAUACAAUACGGACUUAGUCGAAGCCUUGAAUCAGUCCCAACAACAUCAAAUCUACGAAUCUACGAUCGAAAUAUUUCUUUAAGAAUUCAAACUUUUAAACUUCGACGAACGCGUCCGAAUCAUAUCAAAACAUUCUGAAAUGACGCCAAACUUUGCACACAAGUCAUAAAUCACAAUGCGAACCUAUUCCAAGGCUCAGAAUCCCAAACGGACUUCGAUAACACCAAAGUCCACUUCAAUUCAAACUUAACAAAUGCUAAAACCUUCAAAAUGCCAACUUUCCACAAUAAGCGCCGAAAUGCUCCCGGGUGAUCCGUUACUCAACCCGAACAUAUGCCUAAGUCCGAAAUCAUCAUACAAGCCUAUUGGAACCUUCAAAUCCCGAUUCCGAUGUCGUUUACUUAAAAGUCAAACCUUAGACAAUUCUUCCAACUUAAAGCUUCCGGAAUUAGAAUUUCCUUUCCAAAUUAACUCUGAACAUCCCCAAUUCAAUUCCAAACAAACGUACAAGUCAUAAUACAUGAAGUGAAUCUAUUUAAGUCCUCACAACACCGAACGACGCGGUAGUGCUCAAAAAAACCAGUCGGGUCAUUACAUUCUCCCCCACUUAAACAUACGUUCGUGCUUGAACGUGCUAAGGACUGCUCCGGAGUUGUCCAAAAAUAACUAUUUAACACCUCAUGUACUUACCCGUGCCACCACAACCCAGUUGAGCAUGUUAGCUUGAGCCAGUCCGAAGAUCUUUCCUAUAACCUUAGCUAACAAGCUUCAGAACCAAAUUCCAACAUCCAAAAUUUUCCACGAGACCCGAUUCUAACAUAUGAGCACUGCAUCAAUCACCAGACACUGUACCCAACAUGACCAUGCUCCUCCGCUAAAAUCACACCAUGCACCACGUAAUUCGCUUGACCAUAAUAACAUCCUCCGACCACAAUAGCGGUAAUUCCAUGAACCUGAUGCCCGCAAUACACCUCAUAACACAUAUAAGCCCUGAUCUAACUCUCGCAAUACAGCCACGGCGGAAGAGAUGUGUAGAAACUAAUAACCACGUGCUCAACAAAUCAUGGAUCUCUCCUCCGGACAAGAACCAUUACCUCAUGCUGAACUAAAUAACAAUAUUUGCUCUUUAAUAUACCCUACAUAACUCUGAUCGCACUGAUCCCAGGCCCAUACACUCGUCUCACCCAGUAAAAGCUGCUCAGGCAAUAAGCCAUCUCACACACUGCCCAGGAUUUCAUAUGAUGCCAUCAAUGCAACAACAAGCUACAACUUGAAUAUGACACAUAAAGAAGAAAAAACUCUAGGAAAGAACUACCCAGCCCGUGUAACUAAUAAAACGACCGAAUAUAUGCUAUGAACCUACCUUAGGGAUGAAAACAAGGCACACAAAAUAAGUGUAAGGAACUAUGCCAAACAUCUCAUUGUUGCGGUGUGCAACCCGAUCCAAUAUGACACUGUUGCGGCGUGCAACCCGAUCCACACAGCAUGCCCAUCGUGGCAUGCGAUCCGAUCCAAACAAUAUACCCAUGGCGGUGUGCCACCCGAUCCGCACAUAACAAUCAAGAAGAAAACAUACAUCAAGUCGUGCUGCUUAUACUUACGAAAUGCCUGAAUAUCAACCACAAGCAAACCAAGUGCGUAAUACAAAUCCUGAGGAGACGGAUAGUGCCAUACGCUACGAAACCCAAGCACAACUAUGGUGCGAUAAGUGACAUGCAUCUCGAGAGCCAUCAUUCUCAUAUAACACCACAAGCUACACAUGACCUCAACACACGUGCAAAUAAUCAAGCCGUCUCACAACCCACAUGGCACAAUAGAGAUUACAUGGAAUAGCUAACAACAGGAGUAACAUCCAAUGCCCGACUCCUCCUCCUUAAGCAAUGUUAUGACGAAUGAACACAUCCGACCUGACGUAGAUCACACAUUCACAUUAGACCCACCAACGGACCUUUAACCGAUUCUGAUCAUAUCAUACUGGGCCAAUAACCUUCUAAGGAUCCACAAUGGCCCCAUCCAUGACACACACGAGUAGCUGUCCACUCCGGACAAAACUCCCGCAAUUCACAACCAAGGAAUAGAGUGCCUUCCAGGCAUAAACUCUCAUAUUAACGAUAGUACAAAAAAUGUUCAUACUUGGUUUCAAUGUUUAACAAUCAAGUGACUAAAAUGUCACACUUUUACAAAUCUACCUGUGGGAUACGCUCCCACGACCUUCCGCACUAGAUAGCAAAGUCUGCACCUCCAUACCACCAACCGUACUAAUCAGUAAAGCAAUUCAAGAACCCGCAUAUCAAUACACAAUGCUCCUUCCACAGAACACCAUUCCUAGGCAACACUAGGAUAAUGUCAGCUUACUCUAAACAUCUAAAUUCUUCCCGGAUCAUCCGAGCUCGUGAUGUACUUGUCAAUACCGAACUGCAACCUCGAUCCUCAACUUUCAAAUUCCCAUGUCGCUCACUGCACCUAUCAUGCCGCUAUGCAAUAAUACAAGUAUUCAUCAUAACCCUUGAACUACUAGUAGAAUAAACACUUGUUGGAUAUAAACCUUUCACAUAGUUCAUUUCAGAAGAACCAAUGCUACACACAACUGAAUUCCCAAACCGCAAAAAAUACGAACCUCAAGUCGUGAUCUAAACCGCCAUGACUCUUCCCGAAUCCAUUUACACAACAAGGCCAUUUCAAUCAAAUACCUCCCAAAUCAAUCAAGCUGGGAUGGCUGUCGAGCCCACAGGUACAACCACAAACCACAUAUAUAACUUCACACGCCGAAGGAACUGAUCAUUGCCACAAUCAUGCUGAUUUAACCAUUACUAACUGAACCAACUUCUUCUAAUUCACUCUUGAUUUGCCUUAGAAAUAAUAGUAGCUCCAUUCAAGAAUCGUAACGAAACUCAACAACACCCCUCCCGAGUGACCCACUAUAUGAGACCACAUCAUCUCAAUACCUAUGAACCAUCUCAUACCUUCCUCAUGUGCACAAUAGCAUCUCCAACUGGUACACCUAUUCUGAAAGACCUCCCGCGAAUCCGAAACUGUUCCUCCCAUUUUUCCAAUAUUGCCCCGCAGACCCGAUGAUAACAUAGAAAAUUCCCCAAGUAUUCCUCACACCUUGUUGCAAAAUCCCGGUCUCCAGCCACAUAACAAACCCAUUAGAACCACUGUUGAGGGUCACCCACUCUGACUUGGUCGCGAACAUAAGCCAAACUAUAGUGCGCUGUCAGCAUAUGAACACUCCCAAAGAAGCAACCGAAUGAAUUAUUUUUCCUUGCACAUCACAUCUACCAGAAGCAUAAACUAUAAGUCUCCCCAAAAUCUGUGCAUGAAUCGAUAAGACAAAAUAUAACACACAUUCAUCAAAUCCUUUGUUCGAACUACCCAUGAUUUUUCCUUUUCUUAGUCAUAAAUAAUCCACAAAUGACCCAAUAACCAGAAGGUGCACAAGUAGACAACCACGCGAACCAAUGGUAGAUAGUGGGCUCCGCCACAUAAUGUAGAGCCCAUAAUGAUUCCUCCUUCCCAAUCACCAUGAUAUUGCAUCGUUAACCUACAAAAUUCUCAAAACUUCUUGUUAAACAUUUCAUAAAACAUCUCGAAUUAUCAGCCACAAUUGCCUGUGCGACCUCCCGCUGGAAAGUAAGUAGAGAUAGCCCACAUGUGGAAUUCCCUACCGACAUCUCCCAAUGACGAUGCACUGGGUACAACUACCAUGAACUUAAUAAACCCUCCUGAUCCCGUGCUCAUCCACCAGUUGUACAAGUCUGUUCAGUCCCAAUUCACAUCAACUGAAAGUCCGACGAUACAUUCCAAACUCGAAGUCAUGUUUCACACCUCUUCAUUUCUAGCAAACUCCCGCCGCCAUAAUCAAGCUUCCUCCAUCCGGCAGCCACCAUCCCAAAAUAAAAUGCAUAGGCUUAGUCAUUAUCCACCUUGAUUCCCAAAUCGCUCUAAACUUUCCUCAAGGUAAGUGGCUUUCCUGCCACAGAAUUCAUAUGCUACUCUACCACUCCGACUCCGGUUAAACCACAUCCUUUAAGCAACUUGUCGACCUCUGCUCUUCAUACUUGACCUGCUAGUAAUUUGACCACCGUGAGACACCUCCCGCCAUGUCCUUCCUCAUCCUUCGCUGCCCAAAUGUUGCCUCAAAUAAAAAUCCUUCUCUGUAGCACCUGAACUAAUAAAUUGCUACCAACUCUACGCCUUCUCGAAGAUCAUCUUUCUCGAGCCAUUCACUUUCGAAGCACCGGUUCAAUUAUGAAAUUGCUACAUACAGCCAUCUCUGACAACCGCUUCUUAAACACUAUUUCACCACACACUACCCCGAAGGCAAAUCAAAGAAGAUCGUAACACCGACGAACCUUAAUAGAUUCAAACAAGCACGACGACACCACAUCGCAAAUAAAAAUUCCACCACGCUCAAAAAUAUCAAGUCGCGUUACUCCAUUAACCAACACUUGAACAUCCAUAGUUCUGAUUGCCCUUCCUCCACUGGAAUUAGAUUCCGAACCUCUAAACCGUGAACUGAUAAAUCGUCCUUUCGAUUCAUUCACUGCCGCAAUCCAUAAAUAAGCACCAUACCAUUACACCAACACUGUGCGAUAACAACGCAUGAACAUCAUAGAAAUUUGUACAUAGCCUCAAACUAUAGGAAAUACAGAUUCUAAGCUAAAAUGAUAGAACAUCCUACCGCAAGGCGAUGAUAAUAGCCUGCCCGAAUACGCAGGGAAAACAUCUUGCACCACCACUAAAAAUCCCCGAUGCCCAAUUGAUAACAAGCGCUUCACGUAGCAUAAGAUUGAGUAGGAAGGGAGUAAAGGCAUAAGCCUCAAAAGAAUCAAAUCGCACGAUGAAGAAUCUAGAAGGGAAGUUCUCCUAACAACCCUGUAGCCUCUCGAAGAUAAGUACAAACAUAUCCGUACCGAUCCGCAAGACUCUUCUAGACUUUCUCAUAAAUUGUGAGAUCUAAGUGAACCUAACGCUCUGAUACCAAGCUGUCACAACCCAACGUCAGACAAGCCAACAGUGAUUUAUCAAUUUAAUUACUCAUUUUUAUUACUUAUAAAAUCAUAGAUAAGGAAGGAGAUUUACACUUCUAAAUCCACGGGAACGUUCAACAUUUGUACUUUAUAAAAGAAAUUAAAGGUGAUAAUAAUAUAUGAAAUUGUAAGCGUCAACUAGUAUAACCCCAAAACCCGGUGUCAUACGUGCAUGAGCAUUUUCCAAGGACUACAAUAAAAAUACAACAUAUGUCCAUAAUGCAAAUAAGACAGGAUAAAAUAAAUAGUAUGAUGAAGACUCGAUGGACUACGAUGCAUAGUCUGGAAUUUAGCUCACAUAAAGUCCCCUCAACAUAUUCGCCUACAGUCCAAGAUGAUCACCAAACGAACCUGUCAGAUCCUGUACAUUUAGUGCAGAAUUGCAGCAUGAGUACGUAAAUCAACGCGUGCCCAGUAAGUAUCUAGCCUAACCCCAGAGAAUAGUGAUGAGGGGUCGACAUCGACACUUACUAGAGGUCCAAUAAAACAAUAUAAUAAAUCAUAAGCAUAUAUGAAGUACACAAAAAUAAUGGAGUAAAUCUAUAAGUUACAUAAUUUUCCAAAUAUUUCUUUUAAAGUAUGAAUUUCAAAAUCUUGUAUUAUACCUUAACAACUCAAAAAAUUUCAAGUGCGAAUAUCAAAUGAAUAAGGAAUACCAUAUAAAAUUUCGGGCAUCAAUGAAAAAAUAAUCCCGUGAAUGUUCGGACUACCAGUGCUAUAACGCAUGAUUAUGCCGAGGUCAUUCAGCCCGAUCCAGAAUAAUGUGUACGCUGCCAAGGUUCGUGCGGCAUGAAUCAUAGAUUCAUCUAUUAUACUGCUGUAACGACCCGGACGGUCGUUUCAUGAGUUAUAGCCCUGUUCCCCAAUUUCCUGCUUCUUUUGUUUUAUUCAGCUAUGUUAUGAUAUACCGGGUUAGUUGGUUCGAGUCCGGAGUGGUUUCGGUGUGAAUUGAGACACUUAGUCUCUUUAUUAGAAGAUUAAGUUGGAAAAGUCAACCGAAUGUUGACUUACGUGUAAAUGAUCUAGGAAUUGAAUUUUGGUGGUUCUGUAGCUCUGUUAGGUGAUUGUGGACAUAGGAGCGUGCCCGAAAUAUGAUUUGGAGGUUCGUGGUAGAAUUAGGCUUGUAUUGGCGAAAAUUAGAAUUUUAGCGAUUUUGGCCGACAGUGGAAAUUUUGAUAUCGGGGUCGGAUUGGAUUUCUGGAAGUCGGAGUAGGUUCUUGGUGUCACUUCUAAAUUGUGUACAAAAUUUAAGGUCAUCUAGACGUGAUUUGGUAGGUUUCAACAUUGUUUGUGGAAUUCAAAAGUUUAGAAGUUCUUAGGCUUGAAUCCAGGCGUAAUUUUGUGUUUUGGUGUUGAUCUUAGUGAUCCGAAGGUUCAAUAGAGUUUGUAUAAGGUUAUUGGAUAUGUUGGUAUUUUUAGUUAUGGUCCCGAGGGCCUUGGGGUGAUGCCGGGUGGUUAACGGAAGAAUUAGAGUUGACGAAAUGUAGCUGAAGCUGCUGGUUCUGGUAUCUUCCGCCCUUGCGGAGUGGGAGCCGCAGGAGAAAUUGAGCAGCCGCAGAUGUGGCCAUGGAGGACUUGGGUAGGAACCGUCCGUGCGAAGGUAUUCCCGCACCUGCGUGAGUCGAAGAUGCGGGCAGGUAGGUGCAUGUGCGAGUUUUGACCGCAGACGCGAGAGAGUUUCUGCACCUAGGUAGGGCGCAGAUGCGGUCUUGAGGCCGCAGGAGCGAAGUCGAUAUUUUAAGUGAAAUCCGCACAUGAGAUGGAAUUUUCGCAGGUGCGGCAUCACAGAAGGGAUCAAUAGACCGCAGGUGCGGUAUUGCUGGGUAGAAAAGUACCAGCUCGAGGUUUUGUCUUUCAUUUUCAAUUUUGGACAUGAGAAACUCGGGAGUGAGGCGAGUUUUUGAAGGNNNNNNNNNNNNNNNNNNNNNNNNNNNNNNNNNNNNNNNNNNNNNNNNNNNNNNNNNNNNNNNNNNNNNNNNNNNNNNNNNNNNNNNNNNNNNNNNNNNNNNCAUCAUUUAAUUAGGGAUUGGAAUUGGAAAUUUGGGGAUUUAGGGCUUGGGAAUUAGAGAGUGAUCUUUGAGGUUUUGGAGGAGCAAUCGAGGUCGGAUUUUGGCAAAUUUGGUAUGACUAGACUAGUGAGUGAAUGCGCUUUCGGGUUUUGUGAUUUUUGUUGGAUUCCAAGACGUGGUCUCGGGGGCCAGGUUUGAGUCGAUUUUGGAUAUUGGCUAUAAUUUGGUAUUUUUCUUGUGGAAUGGAUUCCUUUAGCCUUUAUUCAUUGUAUUGUAUUACUUGUGCUUAUAUUCGGGACGUUCAGAGGCUGAAUUGAGAUGCAAGGGCAUUUCAGAGUAGGACUUUGCUUGGUUUGAGGUAAGUAACAUUUUCAAACUUGGUUCUGAGGGUUCGAGACCCCAAAUUAUAUGCUAUGUGAUUGGUAUUGAGGUGACGCACAUGCUAAGUGAUGGGCGUGCGGGCGUACACCGUGAGGAUUGUAACCUAGGUGGUUCUAUGGCACCAUUUAGUGAUUCUAUCAUGUUGAUAUCCAUGUUUUCAUCAUGUGAUAAAGUAGUUGAGCUGUAAAUCAGUCUUUUAGGCCUUGUGCCAGUAUUGUUUGGACCCUUAGUGGUCGUUUCUUCCUGUCAUCUCACUAGUUUUCAUUCACUAUUUCAUACUGAGUUAUGAUCAUGCAUUUUUAUAUCAUAUCUCGGUCUUAGUUAUUUAUUGAUUCAUCAUAUCAUUGUUCCGGGUUGUUUUCAUGACAUUGUGAGCUCGUGGCGAGACUGGAGAGGUUGAUGACUAAGUGAGGCCGAGUGCCUGGUUAUGAGUGAUAGUUAUUGGAUCGGGCUGCACGUCGCAGUGGUUAUAUUUAUGAUUAUGAUAGCACUUGGGCUAUAGGAGCCCCUCCGGAGUCUGUAACACCCCCUAGUGAGCACAGAUGAUAUUAUUGAGGGAUGGAUUUCCCUGGACAUGGAUUUUUCCGAAGUACUUGAUACCUGGAGAUGGAUUUCUCCACAGGGUUGGAUUGCCCUUUUUCCUCAGUACUGGUGACUUAUAGUCAGUGUUAUAUAUGUUCCGGGAUGGAUUUCCCUAGGCUGGAUGGCCAUAUACAGUACCGAGUGGUUGAAUACUUGAGAGUGGAGCACAUGGUGCAUUUCAUACAGUUUGUGUAUUCGCAUGUAGAGAUAGAUGAGUUGUAUACCUUACAUUGUUCAGAUAUGUAUUUCCUUUACUGUUUGACCUGUAUAUUUGACUUGAAAGCAUGCCUACAUUUCUGCACAUUUAUUUCUGUUAUACUUGUUGAGGUUGAGUUCAUCACUACCUUUCACUCCAAAGUUUGGACUUGUUACUUACUGAGUUGGUGUAUUCACGUUACUCCCCGCACCUCAUGUGCAGAUCCAGGCGAUACCGAUCAUAGCGGCGAUUGCUGAUUGAAGAUCCUAGAGUUUUGGAGACUGUCAAGGUAGCUGCACUGCGUUCGCGGGCCUUGACUCUCCUUCUUUAUCUUUGUCGUACUUUCAGUUUACAUCUCUAGACACUGUAGUAGACUGUAUUUCGGAUCUAGACGCUCAUGUACUCAGUGACACCCUUAUUUUGGGCUGGAUUGUACCACUUUUUGAUUUUCAUAUGUUUUAAAUAUUUUUUAUUUAAUGUUAAAUGCUUUUGUUAACAUUUUCAAACUCAUUGUUGGGUGUGUUGGGUUGUUGAGUUGAGGCUGGCCUAGUUCCAUGAUAGGCGCCAUAACGAUGAUUGAUUUUGGGUCUUGACAACUUGGUAUCAGAGCCUAGGUUACAUAGGUCUCAUCAGUCAUGAGCGAAUUUAGUAGAGUCUUGUGGAUCAGUACGGAGACGUCUGUACUUAUCUUCGAGAGCUUGUAGAACCCUUAGGAAACUCCACAUUCUUGAAUUCUUGUCGUGCGAGUCUGUUGAUUCUAGUAACUAAACAUUUGUUGUUCCGUUCUCUCACAGAUGGUGAGGACUCGUACUACCGGGCAGGAGGGACAGCCACCAGUACCACUAUCCAGGGCCGCAAGACGCCGAGGGAGGUAGAGGCCGCGGUAGGGGCAGAGGUGCAACCCGUACAACAGCUGGGGCAAUACCUGCAGAUCCACGAGUUGCCCCAGAUCAGGACCAGAUUCCAGUUGUUGAUGAACCAACUCAAGCACCACCUGUGCCUAUUGUGAUUCCAGGCCUUCAGGAGGCCUUAGCUCAGAUUUUGACCGGGUGUACCAGUCUUGCUCAGGCGGUCUCUGUUCCGGCCGCAACAGCCACUUCUUAGGCCGGGGGAGGUGCUCAAACUACUACUGCCCGCACACCAGAGCAGGUGGUACAGGAAUUCCGGACACCGGGGGCACCACCAGCCCAGCCAGUUGCAACUGCUUAGGACUAUGUGGUUCUUGCUAUGCCUGAGGAUGAACAACAUAGAUUGGAGAGGUUUGGAAGACUCCAACCUCCAUCUUUCAAUGGUGUAGAGGGAGAGGAUGCACAUGGUUUCUUGGACAAGUGUCAGAGGAUACUCCGUACAGUAGGUAUUGUGGAGACCAGUGGGGUCUCAUUACUACCUUUUAGUUCUCUAGGGCUGCAUUCAGUUGGGUGAGAGGCAUAGGCUAGUCGGUGCAGUGCCCCUUACCUGGCAGCAGUUCUCCGUUAUCUUUUUGGAGAAGUUCGUGCCUCAGUACCACAGAGAGGAGCUGCGCAUAUAGUUUGAGCAGCUUUGUCAGGGUGAUAUGUCUGUGACGCAUUAUGAGAUGCGAUUAUCGGAGUUAGCCCGUCAUGCUAUCUGGUUGGUUCCCACAGACAGGGAGAGGAUCAGGAGGUUUAUAGAUGGCCUCACUUAUCAGCUGCGAUUGCUUAUGAGCAGGGAGAGAGUGUCUUGUGCUACUUUUGAUGAGGUUGUCGACAUUGCUUAUCAAAUUAAGAUUGUUCGGAGUCAGGAGAGGGUUAAGAGGGAAGCCAAGAGGCCUCGUGGAUAGGGAGGAUUUAGUGGUGCUCCUUCCUGGGGUCAGUUACAGCAUGGUAGAGGUCGUCCUUUCAGGCAUGCUCAGACGGCUCGCCUAGUGCACCGAGGUGCAUCAUCCGGUCAUAGGCCCCAUGUUUAUCAGCUCGGCCAGGCAUCAUUUGGUGCGCUACCAGCUUAGGGUUCAUCAGUGUCAGGAGCUUCUAACGGGUAUUACUAGUGCUCGGGGUUCCUUUCAGUCCCCAAUGGCCUUUAGAGGUUGCUUUGAGUGUGGAGAUUUGGGCCAUAUCAAGAGGUUUUGUCCCUGCCUGACGGGAGGUUCAUCUCAGGAGAGGAGUCAGCCUUCGACUUCGGCACCAGUUCCUCCACCACCCGCCCAGCCAGCUAGGGGCAGAGUUCAUUCAGCUAGGGACCGUCCGAGAGGGGGAGGCCGAUCAGGGGGCAGCCAGGCCCGUUUCGAUGCCCCCUAUCCAGACCAGAUGCCAUUGCUUUAGAUGCUGUGAUUACAGGUAUUGUUUCGGUUUGCCACCGAGAUGCCUCGGUAUUAUUUGACCCUGGGUCUACUUAUUCAUAUACUUCCUCAUAUUUUGCUCAUUUUCUGGAUAUGCCCUGUGAGUCUUUAGUUUCAUCUGUUCAUGUAUCUACGCUUGUGGGUGAUACUAUUAUUGUGGACUGUGUAUAUCAAUCAUGUAUGGUGACCAUUGGGGGUCUGGAGAUAAGAGUGGAUCUUUUGUUGCUCAAUAUGGUCGAUUUUAUGUAAUAUUGGGUAUGGAUUGGCUGUCUCCAUGUCAUGUUGUUCUAGAUUUUCACGCUAAGACUAUGACGUUGGCAAUUCCGGGGUUGCCAAGUGUUGAGUGGAGUGGUUCUAUGUGACUAGUAGGGUGAUUUCAUAUUUGAAGGCCCAGCGUAUGGUGGAGAAGGGUUGUCUAUCCUAUUUGGCUUUUGUGAGGGAUGUUAGUGUAUAGACCCCUACCAUUAAUUCUAUUCCAGUGGUACGUGAUUUUCUGGAUGUGUUUCCUGCAGACCUGCCGGGCAUGCCUCCUGACAGGGAUAUUGAUUUGGUGCUGGGGACUCAGCCCAUUUCUAUUCCACCGAAUCGUAUGGAACUGGUGGAGUUGAAGGAGUUGAAGGGACAGCUUCAGGAACUCCUUGAUAAGGGGUUUAUUUGGUCUAGAGUGUCAUCUUGGGGUGCACCGGUUCUACUUAUUUGUAAAGUAGAAUGAUGGUUCUAUGAGGAUGUGUAUUGACUACAGGCAGUUGAACAAGGUCACGGUCAAGAACAAGUAUCCUUUGCCAUGCAUUGAUGAUCUAUUUGACCAGCUUCAGGGGGCGAGGGUGUUCUCCAAGAUUGAUUUGAGGUCUCGGUAUCACCAGCUGAAGAUUUGGGAUUCGGAUAUUCUUAAAACAGCUUCCAAGACCCGAUAUGGCCAUUAUGAGUUCUUAGUGAUAUCUUUUGGGCUGACCAAUGCCCCAACAACAUUCAUGCAUUUGAUUAACAGUGUAUUCCAACCCUAUUUGGACUCAUUGGUUAUUGUAUUCAUUGAUGACAUCAUGGUGUACUCUCGCAGCCAGGAGGAGCAUCCUCAGCAUUUGAGGAUUGUAUUACAGAGAUUGAGGGAGGAGAAGCUUUAUGCAAAGUUCUCCAAGUGUGAGUUUUGGCUCGGUUCAUUAUCAUUCUUGGGCACGCGGUGUCCAGUGAGGGUAUUCAGGUGGAUCCGAAGAAGAUAGAAACGGUGCAGAGUUGGCCUAGACCAUCCUCAGCCACGGAGAUUAGGAGCUUCCUUGGGCUUGCAGGCUAUUACCGUCGCUUUGUGGAGUGAUUUUCAUCUAUUACAUGGCCCUUAACCAAAUUGACCCAAAAGAGUGCUCUAUUCAGGUGGUCGAAUGAUUGUGAGGAGAGCUUCCAGAAGCUCAAGACUGCUUUGACCACAACUCCAGUUCUAGUUUUGCCGUCAGCUUCAGGUUCUUACAACGUGUAUUGUGAAGCUUCGAGGGUAGGUAUUGGAUGUGUUCUGAUGCAGGUGAGUAGGGUGAUUACCUAUGCCUCGCACCAAUUGAAGACUAAUGAGAAGAACUAUCUUUUCCAUGACCUUGAGUUAGCAGCUAUUAUGCAUACCUUAAAGAUUUGGCGGCACUAUUUGUACGGGGUUCAUUGUGAGGUUAAGUAUUGUGGCUCGGUGUCUCAACUUUCAGCAGGUUAAGUAUGAACAUCAGAUAUCGGGUGGUUUGCUUUAGAGGUUAGAUAUCCCAUAGUGGAAGUGGGAGCGGAUCACCAUGCACUUCGUAGUUGGGUUCCCACGGACUUCGGGGAAGUUCGAUGCUAUUUGGGUUAUUGUGGAUCGGCUGAGCAAGUACGCGCACUUCAUUCUAGUUGAUACUACUUACUAUUCAAUGCGGUUGGCUGAGAUUUACAUCCGAGAGAUUAUUCGCCUGCAUGGUGUUCUAGUUUCCAUCAUUUCGGAUAGGGGCACUCAGUUUACAUUGUAAUUUUGGAGGGCCGUGCAGCGAGAGUUGGGUACUCAGGUUGAUUUGAGCACAACCUUUCACCCUCAGAUGAACGGACACUCCGAGUGCACUUUUCAGAUAUUGGAGGACAUGCUACGCGCUUGUGUCAUUGAUUUUGGGGGUUCAUGAGACCAGUUUUUGCCACUCGCGGAGUUUGCAUAUAACAACAGUUAUCAGUCGAGCAUUCAGAUAGCUCCGUACGAGGCUUUAUAUGGAAGGAGGUAUAGAUCUCCAGUAGGAUGGUUUGAGCUGGGUGAGGCUAGGCUCUUGGGUGCAGACUUGGUCCAGGAUGCAUUAGACAAGGUGAAAUUGAUUCAGAAGCAACUUCGCAUGGAGGAGUCUAGGCAGAAGAGCUAUGCGGACAGGAAGGUCUGUGAUGUGUCUUUCAUGGUCGGAGAGAAAGUUUUGCUGAAGGUAUAACCCAUGAAGCGUGUUAUGAGGUUUGGGAAGAGGGGAAAGUUGAGCCCCCGGUUCAUUAGGCUUUUUGAGGUGCUUCAGAGGAUAGGGGAGGUGACUUAUAAGCUUUCCUUGCCACCCAGCUUGUCGAGUGGGCAUCCAGUGUUUCAUGUUCCUAUGCUCCGGAAGUAUAUUGGCGAUCCGUCCCAUAUUUUGGACUACAGCAAGGUUCAGUUGGAUAGUGAUAUGACUUAUGAUGUAGAGACGGUGGCCAUUUUGGAGCGGCAGGUUCGAAAGUUGAGCUCACAGGAUAUAGCUUCAAUGAAGGUGUAGUGGGGAGGUCUGCCUGUGGAGGAGGCCACCUGGGAGACCGAGCGGGAGAUGCGGAGCAGAUAACCACACCUAUUUGAGGCUCUAGGUAUGUUUCUAGACACGUUCGAGGACGAACAUUUGUUUUAGAGAGGGAAGAUGUAACGACCUGACCGGUCGUUUCGAGAGUUAUAGCCCCGUUCCCCCAUUUCCUGCUUCCUUUUGUGUUCUUCAGCUAUAUUAUGAUAUACCGUCUUACUUGGUUCAAGUCCGGAGUGGUUUCAGAGUGAAUCAAGAUACUUAGUCUCUUUAUUAGAAGCUUAAGUGGGAAAAGUCAAACGGAUGUUGACUUAUAUGUAAACAAUCUCGGAUUUGCUUUUUCAUGGUUUGCUUAGCUCUAUUAGGUGAUUGUGGACUUAAGAGCGCGUCCGAAUUGUGAUUUGGAGUUCCGUGGUAGAAUUAGGCUUGAAUUGGCAAAAAUUAGAAUUUUGGCGAUUUUGGCCGGCAGUGGAAAUUUUGAUAUCUGGGUCGGAUUGGAUUUCUGGAAGUUGGAGUAGGUUUGUGGUGUCCUUUUUAACUUGUGUGAAAAAUUUGAGGUCAUUCGGACGUGGUUUGGUAGGUUUCAGCAUCGUUUGUGGAAUUCAGAAGUUUAGAAGUUCUUAGGCUUGAAUCCGGGCGUAAUUUGAUGUUUUUAUGUUGAUUUGAGUGAUCCGAACGGUCUGAUACAAAGCUUUCACGACCCAAAUUCCACUAUAGGUCAUGAUGGCGCCUAACGCCACCGUCAGGCAGCCAACAAUGAUUUAUCAAUUCAAUUACUCAUUUUUAUUACUUUUGAAAUCAUAGAUAAGGAAGGAGAUUUACACUGCUAAAUCAACGUGAACGUGCAACAUUUGUAGUUUAUAAAAGAAAUUAAAGGCGAUAAUAAUAUAUAAAACUGUAAGCAUCAACUAGUAUAACCCCAAAACCCGGUGUCACAAGUGCAUUUGCAUUUUCUAAGGACUACAAUAAUAAUACAACAUCUGUCCAGAAUGUAAAUAAGAUAGGAUAAAAUAAACAGUACGAUGAAGACUUGGUGGACUGCGAUGCGUAGUAUGGAAUGUAGCUCACAUAAAGUCCCCUCAAGAAGUGCGCCUACCCUAGAGGAUGAUCACCAAACGAUCCUGUCAGAUCCUGCACAUUUAGUGCAGAAGUGCAGCAUGAGUACGUAAAUCAAUGCGUACCUAGUACGUAUCUAGCCUAACCCCGGAGAAGUAGUGAUGAGGGGUCAACAUUGACACUUACUAGAGGUUCAAUAAAGCAAUAUAAUAAAUCAUAAGCAGAUAUGAAGCACACAACAAUAAUGGAGUAAAUCUGUAAGUUACAUAAUCUUCCAAAUAUUUCUUUUAAAGUAUGAAUUUCUCAAUCUUAUAUUAUACUUUAACCGCUCAGAAAAUUUCAAGUGCCAAUAUCAAAUGAAUAAGAAAUACCAUAUAAAAUUUCGGGCAUCAAUGGAAAGAUAAUCAUGUGAAUGUUCGGACUACCAGCGAUAUAACGCAUGAUUGUGCCGAGGUCAUUCGGCCCGAUCCAGAAUAAUGUGUACACUGCCGAGGGUCGAGCGGCACAAAUUGUAGAUUCAUCUAUUAUACUGUUGUAACGACCCGGUCGUUUCGAGAGUUAUAGCCAUGUUCCCCCAUUUCUUGCUUCUUUUUGUGUUCUUCAUCUAUAUUAUGAUAUACCGGGUUAGUUGGUUCGAGUCCGGAGUGGUUUCGAAGUGAAUUGAGACACUUAGUCUCUUUAUUAGAAGCUUAAGUGGGAAAAGUCAACCGGAUGUUGACUUAUAUGUAAACGAUCUCGGAUUUGCAUUUUCAUGGUUCCCUUAGCUCUAUUAGGUGAUUGUGGACUUAAGAGAGCGUACGAAUUGUGAUUUGGAGUUCCGUGGUAGAAUUAGGCUUGAAUUGGCGAAAAUUAAAAUUUUGGCGAUUUUGGCCGGCAGUGGAAAUUUUGAUAUCGGGGUCGGAUUGGAUUUCUGGAAGUUGGAGUAGGUUUGUGGUGUCCUUUUUAACUUUUGUGAAAAAUUUGAGGUCGUCCGGACGUGGUUUGGUAGCUUUCGGCAUCGUUUGUGGAAUUCAAAAGUUCAGAAGUUCUUAGGCUUGAAUCUGGGAAUAAUUUGAUGUGUUGAUGUUGAUUUGAGUGAUCCGAACUAUCUAAUACCAAGCUAUCACGACCCAAAUUCCACUAUAGGUCGUGAUGGCACCUAACGCCACCGUCAGGCAUGCCAACAGUGAUUUAUCAAUUCAAUUAGUCAUUUUUAUUACUUUUGACAUCAUAGAUAUGGAAGGAGAUUUACACUUCUAAAUCAACGUGAACGUGCAACAUUUGUAGUUUAUAAAAGAAAUUAAAGGCGAUAAUAAUAUACAAAACUAUAAGCAUCAACUAGUGUAACCCCAAAACCCGGUGUCACAAGUGCAUGGGCAUUUUUUAAGGACUACAAUAAUAAUACAACAUCUGUCCAUAAUGUAAAUAAGAUAGGAUAAAAUAAAUAGUACGAUGAAGACUCGGUGGACUGUGAUGCGUAGUCUGGAAUGUAGCUCACAUAAAGUCCCCUCAACAAGUGCGCCUACCCGCGAGGAUGAUCACCAAACGAUCCUGUCAGAUCCUGCACAUUUAGUGUAGAAGUGCAGCAUGAGUACGUAAAUCAACGCGUACCCAGUACGUAUCUAGCCUAACCCCAGAGAAGUAGUGAUAAGGGGUCGACAUCGACACUUACUAGAGGUCCAAUAAAGCAAUAUAAUAAAUCAUAAGCAGAUAUGAAGCACACAACAAUAAUGGAGUAAAUCUGUAAGUUACAUAAUUUUCCAAACAUUUCUUUUAAAGUAUGAAUUUGUUAAUCUUGUAUUAUACCUUAACAGCUCAGAAAAUUUCAAGUGCCAAUAUCAAAUGAAUAAGAAAUACCAUAUAAAAUUUCGGGCAUCAAUGGAAAGAUAAUCUUGUGAAUGUUCGGACUACCAGCGAUAUAACGCAUGACUAUGCCGAGGUCAUUCGGCCUGAUCCAGAAUAAUAUGUACACUGACGAGGGUCGAGCGGCACGAAUUAUAGAUUCAUCUAUUAUACUGUUGUAACGACCCGGUCAUUUCGAGAGUUAUAGCCCUGUUCCCCAAUUUCCUGCUUCUUUUGUUUUAUUCAGCUAUGUUAUGAUAUACCGGGUUAGUUGGUUCGAGUCCGGAGUGGUUUCGGUGUGAAUUGAGACACUUAGUCUCUUUAUUAGAAGCAUAAGAUAGAAAGGUCAACUAGAAGUUGACUUAUGUGUAAACGAUCUCGAAUUUGAAUUUUGAUGGAUCUGUUAGCUCCGUUAGGUGAUUGUGGACAUAGGAGCGCGUCCGGAAUAUGAUUUUGAGUCCCGUGGUAGAAUUAGGCUUGAAUUGGCAAAAAUUAGAAUUUUGCCGAUUUUGGCCGGCAGUGGAAAUUUUGAUAUCGUCGUCAGAUUGGAUUUCUGGAAGUUGGAGUAGGUUCGUGUUGUCAUUUCUAACUUGUGUGCAAAAUUUGAGGUCAUCCGCACGUGGUUUUAUAGGUUUUGGCAUCGUUUGUGGCAUUCGGAAGUUUAGAAGUUCUUAGGCUUGAAUCAGGGCGUAAUUUGGUGUUUUGAUGUUGAUUUGAGUGAUCCGAAGGUUCGACUAAGUUUGUAUAAGGUUAUAGGAUAUGUUGGUAUGUUUGGUUGUGGUCCCGAGGGCCUCGAGGUGAUUCCGGUUGGUUAACGGAAGAAUUGGAGUUGAUGAAAUGCAGUUGAAGCUGCUGGUUCUGGUGUCUUCCGCACCUGCGGAGUGGGAGCCACAGGUGCGAGCCCGCAGGAGCGACUGAGGAGCCGCAGAUACGGGCAUGGAGGAGCUGAGUAGGAACCGCAGGUGCGAAGGUAUUCCCGCACCUACGUGAGUCACAGAUGCGGGCAAGCAGGCAGGCACAUGUGCGAGUUUUAACCGCAGAAGCGAGAGAGUUUCCGCACCUGCGAAGGGCGCAGAUGCGGUCUUGAGGCCGCAGGAGCGAAGUCGAUAUUUUAAGUGAAAUCCGAACAUGCGAUGGAAUUUCCGCACGUGCGGCAUCGCAGAAGCGAUCAAUGGACCGCAAGUGCGGUAUUGCUGGGCAGAAAAGCACCAGCUCGAGGUUUUGUCUUUUUUUUUCAAUUUUGGACGUGAGAAACUCGGGAGUGAGGCAAUUUUUCGAAGGUUUUCAAGGAGCAACAUUGGGGUAAGUGAUUCUAANNNNNNNNNNNNNNNNNNNNNNNNNNNNNNNNNNNNNNNNNNNNNNNNNNNNNNNNNNNNNNNNNNNNNNNNNNNNNNNNNNNNNNNNNNNNNNNNNNNNNNNNNNNNNNNNNNNNNNNNNNNNNNNNNNNNNNNNNNNNNNNNNNNNNNNNNNNNNNNNNNNNNNNNNNNNNNNNNNNNNNNNNNNNNNNNNNNNNNNNNNNNNNNNNNNNNNNNNNNNNNNNNNNNNNNNNNNNNNNNNNNNNNNNNNNNNNNNNNNNNNNNNNNNNNNNNNNNNNNNNNNNNNNNNNNNNNNNNNNNNNNNNNNNNNNNNNNNNNNNNNNNNNNNNNNNNNNNNNNNNNNNNNNNNNNNNNNNNNNNNNNNNNNNNNNNNNNNNNNNNNNNNNNNNNNNNNNNNNNNNNNNNNNNNNNNNNNNNNNNNNNNNNNNNNNNNNNNNNNNNNNNNNNNNNNNNNNNNNNNNNNNNNNNNNNNNNNNNNNNNNNNNNNNNNNNNNNNNNNNNNNNNNNNNNNNNNNNNNNNNNNNNNNNNNNNNNNNNNNNNNNNNNNNNNNNNNNNNNNNNNNNNNNNNNNNNNNNNNNNNNNNNNNNNNNNNNNNNNNNNNNNNNNNNNNNNNNNNNNNNNNNNNNNNNNNNNNNNNNNNNNNNNNNNNNNNNNNNNNNNNNNNNNNNNNNNNNNNNNNNNNNNNNNNNNNNNNNNNNNNNNNNNNNNNNNNNNNNNNNNNNNNNNNNNNNNNNNNNNNNNNNNNNNNNNNNNNNNNNNNNNNNNNNNNNNNNNNNNNNNNNNNNNNNNNNNNNNNNNNNNNNNNNNNNNNNNNNNNNNNNNNNNNNNNNNNNNNNNNNNNNNNNNNNNNNNNNNNNNNNNNNNNNNNNNNNNNNNNNNNNNNNNNNNNNNNNNNNNNNNNNNNNNNNNNNNNNNNNNNNNNNNNNNNNNNNNNNNNNNNNNNNNNNNNNNNNNNNNNNNNNNNNNNNNNNNNNNNNNNNNNNNNNNNNNNNNNNNNNNNNNNNNNNNNNNNNNNNNNNNNNNNNNNNNNNNNNNNNNNNNNNNNNNNNNNNNNNNNNNNNNNNNNNNNNNNNNNNNNNNNNNNNNNNNNNNNNNNNNNNNNNNNNNNNNNNNNNNNNNNNNNNNNNNNAAUUGGAAAGUUUGGGAUUUAGGGCUUGGGAAUUGGAGAGUGAACUUUGGGGUUUUAGAGGGGCAAUCGAGGUCGGAUUUUGGUAAAUUUGGUAUGACUAGACUCGUGUGUGUAUGGGAUUUCAGGUUUUGUGAUUUUUGUUGGAUUCCGAGACGUGGGCCCGGGGGACGGGUUUGAGUCGAUUUCGGAUUUUGGCUAUAAUUUGGUAUAUUUCUUGUGGAAUUGAUUCCUUUAGCCUAUAUUGAUCGUAUUGUAUUACUUGUGGCUAUAUUCGGGACAUUUGGAGGCGGAAUUGAGAGGCAACGGCAUUCCGGAGUAGGAUUUUGCUUGGUUUGAGGUAAGUAACAUUUUCAAACUUGGUUCUGAGGGUUCGAGACCCUAAAUUAUAUGCUGUGUGAUUGGUAUUGAGGUCACGCACAUGCCAAGUGACGGGCGUGCGGGCAUGAGGAUUGUGACCUGGGUGAUUCCAUGGAACCGUUUAGUGACUCUAUCCUGUUGAUAACCAUGUUUUUAUCAUGUGAUAAAGUAGUUGAGUUGUAAAUCAUGCUAGAUAUCAUGUUUAGGCCUUGUGCCGGUAUUGUUUGGACCCUUAGCGGUCGUUUCUUGAUGUUAUGUCACUAGUUUUCAUUCACCAUUUCAUACUCUGUCAUGAUCAUGCAUUUUUAUAUCAUAUCUCGAUCUCAGUUAUUUAUUGAUUCAUCAUAUCAUUGUUCUGUCUUGUUUUCAUGACAUUUUGAGCCCGUGAUGAGACUGGAGAGGUUGAUGACUGAGUGAGGCCGAGUGCCUGGUUAUGAGUGACAGUUAUGGGAUCGAGUUGCACGUCGCAGCGGUUAUAUUGAUGAUUAUGAUAGCGCUUGGGCAGUAGGAGCCCCUCCGGAGUCUGUAACACACCCCCAGUGAGCGUGGAUGAUAUUAUUGAGGGAUAGAUUUCUCUGGACAAGGAUUUGUCCAAAGUACUUGAUACCUAGAGAUAGAUUUCUCCACAAGGUUGGAUUGCCUCUUUUCCUCGGUACUGGUGACUUAUAGUCAGUGUUGUAUAUUUUCCAGGAUGGAUUUCCUUGGGCCGGAUGUCCAUAUACACCGAGUUGUUGAAUACUUGAGAGUGGAGCACAUGGUGCAUUUCAUACUGUCUGUGCACUGGCAUUUAGAGAUAGCUGAGUUGUAUACCUUACACUGUGCAGAUAUGUAUUUCCUUUACUGUUUGAGCUUUAUAUUUGACUUGAAUGCAUGCCUACGUUUCUGCACAUUUAUUUCUGUUUUACUUGUUGAGGUUGAGUUCGUCACUACCUUUCAGUCCAAAGUUUGGACUUGUUACUUAUUGAGUUGGUGUACUCACGUUACUCCCUGCACCUCGUGUGCAGAUCCAGGCGAUACCGGUCGUAGCGGCGGUUGCCGAUUGAGGAUCCUAGAGUUUUGGAGACUAUCAAGGUAGCUGCACUGCGUUCGCGGGCCUUGACUCUCCUUUUUUAUCUUUGUCGUACUUUCAGUUUAUAUCUCUAGACACUGUAGUAUACUGUAUUUCUGAUCUAGACACUCAUGUACUUAGUGACACCCUAGUUUUGGGCUGGAUUGUAUCACUUUGGGAUUUUCAUAUGUUUUAAACAGUUUUUCUUUAAUGUUAAAUGCUUUCGUUAACGUUUUCAAACUCAUUGUUGUUGGUGUUGGGUUGUUGUGUUUAGGCUGGCCUAGUUCUACGAUAGGUGCCAUCACGACGAUUAAUUUUGGGUCGUGACAACUGCCGAGGCAUUUGGUCCGCUCCACAAGAAAGGAUAGAAAUUAUCGAAUUACGAGGCACUUGCUUACAAUACCGUAAAUGGGCACAAUAAUAUAUAUACCUCUUUACAUUUAAAAAAUAUCUUUUCAACAACUCAAGGUGACAAAGCUCGGUCUAAUAUAUUUAUGUGUUUCUAAAUCCAUUUCAGUUAAAAUUUCAAUUAAUUAAACUAGCAGAAUGAGUCCAAACAAUUUAAAUAUUAUAUUAUAAAGUCCUAAGUCUACCAGUACAUAAUCAUGCUUUAGCUACGUACGGACUCUCGUUAUCUCGUGCGUACGUAGCACCCACAACUAGUUGCACAUAAUAUCACAUAGGGGUAGUUUCCCCCUCACAAGAUUAGACAGGAGGCUUACCUCGCUCCGAAGUUCCAUAACCGGCUCCCGCGCCUCUCUAACACCUCAAACCAAAGCCCAUCGAUCCGAAACUAGUCAAAAAAUGUGUAAAUCAAUCAAAAUAUACUCCAAAGCUUACAAUUUAACAUUUUAUAACAAUUCACAACUCCCCUCGAAAAAUCAAUAAAGUCAACCCUCGUGUCCAUGUACCCGGAUUCCGAAAAUCUUCAAAGAUAAUAUUUACCCAUGACACCACAAACUCAAAUAUAUAAUUUAUUCCAAAUUCCAUGUCCAUUUUGGUGGUCAAAAUCCAAAAAUACCAAUUUCUAGGUCUUCUACCAAAAUCCCAAAUUUCUACCAAUUUUCAUAUUCAAAUCCACAUAUAAACCAUGUAUUUAACUCAAUAUGUGGGAAUUACUUACCUCGACAUAGAUGAUGAAAAUCUACCCUUCAAGAGCUCCAAAAAUCACCCAACCAAAUGAAAAUGUGAGAGAAAUGGGCUAAGUCUCGGAUUAAAAACACCCCACUGCUGAGCGACCUUCGCACAUGUGGUCAAUUAGCCGUUUCUGCGGCUCUGCACCUGCGGAAAAUCAAUCUCAGGUGCGGCUCUAGCUCAACCCAGCAGCCCUCACUUCUGCACCCCUAGUAGAGCAUCUGCGCGUCCGCUUUUGCAGGGCUCAAGCGCUUCUGCGCUUGCGCACCUGUGGCCCAGGCCUUCUUGGCCAACCUCCACUUCUACGACAUCUCUCUGCAUUCGCGGCUUCGCAGGUGCGGAAAUUUUCUCGCACCUGCGCUCCCAGACUUCCUCCACAAAAAUCGCACCUACGAUGGACACUUCGCACUUGUGUGACCGCACCGGCGGCCACUCCUUCCGCAGGUGCGAUGGCACCAAACAUCAGCAAGUCCUCAACUCGAGGACCCCAUUCGAUCUUGCCAACGCAACCCAAAACACAAUACAUACUUAGUCGAAGCCUCAAAUCAUGCCCAACAACAUCAAAUCUAUGAAUCGAUGAUCGAAACAUUUCUUUAAACUUUUAAACUUCAACGAACGCGUCCGAAUCAUAUCAAAACAUUCCGAAAUGAUGCCAAACAUUGCGCACAAAUAAUAAAUCACAAUACUAACCUAUUCCAAGUCCACUUCAUUUCAAACUAACCUAUGCCAAGGCUUCGAUAAUACCAAAGUCCACUUCAUUUCAAACUUAAAAAAUUCUAAAACCAUCAAAAUGCCAACUUUCCACAAUAAGCAUCGAAAUGCUCCCGGGUUAUUCGAUACUCAACCCAAACAUACGCCCAAGUCCGAAAUCAUCAUACAAACCUAUUGGAACCUUUAAAUCCUGAUUUCAAUAUCGUUUACUUAAAAGUCAAACCUUAAUCAAUUCUUCCAACUUAAAGCUUCCGGAUUUAGAAUUUUCUGUCCAAAUCAACUCUGAACUUUCCGAAAUUUAAUUUCGACCACACGUACAGGUUAUAAUACAUGAAGUGAAGCUAUUUAAGGCUUCAAAUAAGCGAACGAUGCGCUAGAGCUCAAAAUAACCGGUUAGGUCGUUAUACAAUUAGUUAGGGCAGCAAAGUCAUUAAAAAAGGAAAGAAUUGAUCUUAGUAUUACUCAAUACUGAUAGACCGAUUACACAACACAUAGUUCAUCAAGAUUUCUAAAUAUCAGACUUAAACAAAUUCAGGGUGAGUCCCUACAGGAGAUGGCACUAUCAGCUAUAAGCCAAUAGGUGAUAACAUCUAUUUUAAGGCACACAGGUCAUAUUGAACUGACACUUGAAUAUAUAGGCAUG
This 38596-nucleotide long non-coding RNA is filed under the name Nicotiana tabacum (common tobacco). RNAcentral's name for it is "long non-coding RNA (NTAB_LNC005503)". Lineage: Eukaryota; Viridiplantae; Streptophyta; Magnoliopsida; Solanales; Solanaceae. The record is from RNAcentral.